UGUACUGACACUAACAGAACACCAGUCUGCAUCUCUCCCUUUCUCUUUCUCUCUCUCCGAAAUAGUACGAAUUCAGCUUUGGCAGCAAUACAGGGGACCAUCACGGGCAUAGCAAAGCCAAACCAUAAACAAAGGCGAGCAGCCCUUACAGCAAUAGCAAACGGUCUCACUCUCUCUCCUCUCUCUUCCCCCCCCCCCCCCCC
Molecule: long non-coding RNA, 203 nt
Filed under: Nicotiana benthamiana
Lineage: Eukaryota; Viridiplantae; Streptophyta; Magnoliopsida; Solanales; Solanaceae
Description: long non-coding RNA (NBEN_LNC021141)
Source: RNAcentral